RNAcentral lists this ribosomal RNA (496 nucleotides) under uncultured bacterium. Its description in RNAcentral is "partial 16S ribosomal RNA". It matches the Rfam family "Bacterial small subunit ribosomal RNA", at positions 28 to 506 of the family's 1533-position model. The record is from RNAcentral.
GAUGAACGCUGGCGGCGUGCCUAAUACAUGCAAGUCGAGCGAACGGACGAGAAGCUUGCUUCUCUGAUGUUAGCGGCGGACGGGUGAGUAACACGUGGAUAACCUACCUAUAAGACUGGGAUAACUUCGGGAAACCGGAGCUAAUACUGGAUAAUAUUUUGAACCGCAUGGUUCAAAAGUGAAAGACGGUCUUGCUGUCACUUAUAGAUGGAUCCGCGCUGCAUUAGCUAGUUGGUAAGGUAACGGCUUACCAAGGCAACGAUGCAUAGCCGACCUGAGAGGGUGAUCGGCCACACUGGAACUGAGACACGGUCCAGACUCCUACGGGAGGCAGCAGUAGGGAAUCUUCCGCAAUGGGCGAAAGCCUGACGGAGCAACGCCGCGUGAGUGAUGAAGGUCUUCGGAUCGUAAAACUCUGUUAUUAGGGAAGAACAUAUGUGUAAGUAACUGUGCACAUCUUGACGGUACCUAAUCAGAAAGCCACGGCUAACUACGU